AACAAGUCAGUAUAGAUAAUAAAAGCAUGCUGAGCUUCCAGUAAACCAGCACAUAUUUAUUUUUCCUUUUUGUGAACCUUCGUUGUGAAAUGAUACACCCAGGUGGAGAUAAAGGCUCAGUGCCACGUAGCUCCAUGGCUCAGCUUGGCCUCUAGGGACCUCUGGGACAGAGGGAGCCCCAGCCUAAGCCAGGCGCCAUUGUCAGUUCAGUUUCGCUUUUGAAGGGGCAGGGGCAGGAACAAAUCACUUUCCCUUUCUUUCCAGUAAUGUAAGUUUACAUACGAUCAACAGAGAACUUGGAGCCUGUUAUUUUGUUCCUUAUGCAUGUGGACCUCAUCCUUGUGCUGAAGAAGACUAAGAGGUACUGAUAUACUCCAUAUUGCUGAGUCUUGCAGCAG
Molecule: long non-coding RNA, 398 nt
Filed under: Calidris pugnax (ruff)
Lineage: Eukaryota; Metazoa; Chordata; Aves; Charadriiformes; Scolopacidae
Description: lncRNA (ENSCPUG00000004233.1)
Source: RNAcentral